AAUGUGCUUGACUUUUUCUUAUUAAUUUGUAAUAGCUUUAUGCUUCACCUUUUAGAUCCACUGACUCACACCUGCCUCUCUGCUUGUCCAGAGAGGUACAGAGAAGUAAUGACUUGGACUUGAGGAAGGCCCUUGUAGGACAUGUGAAUGCCAGUGCUCAUGGAGAAAGGUGGAGGAAGAGAGCCAGAGCGCAGUUCACCUCUGGGAGAGCAGACCAGAGUGGCUUCCGUGGGCACAUGCUGGAUUGAAGUGAGAAGACGUGACUACUAA
Long non-coding RNA from Pan paniscus (pygmy chimpanzee), 270 nucleotides. NCBI's taxonomy places the organism in Eukaryota, Metazoa, Chordata, Mammalia, Primates, Hominidae. The record is from Ensembl.